GACGAACGCUGGCGGCGUGCCUAAUACAUGCAAGUCGAACGCUUCUUUCCUCCCGAGUGCUUGCACUCAAUUGGAAAGAGGAGGGGCGGACGGGGGAGUAACACGUGGGUAACCUACCCAUCAGAGGGGGAUAACACUUGGAAACAGGUGCUAAUACCGCAUAACAGUUUAUGCCGCAUGGCAUAAGAGUGAAAGGCGCUUUCGGGGGUCGCUGAUGGAUGGACCCGCGGUGCAUUAGCUAGUUGGUGAGGUAACGGCUCACCAAGGCCACGAUGCAUAGCCGACCUGAGAGGGUGAUCGGCCACACUGGAACUGAGACACGGCCCAGACUCCUACGGGAGGCAGCAGUAGGGAAUCUUCCGCAAUGGACGAAAGUCUGACCGAGCAACGCCGCGUGAGUGAAGAAGGUUUUCGGAUCGUAAAACUCUGUUGUUAGGGAAGAACAAGGGCGUUAGUAACUGAACGUCCCCUGACGGUAUCUAAUCAGAAAGACACGGCUAACUACGUG
This 508-nucleotide ribosomal RNA is filed under the name uncultured bacterium. RNAcentral's name for it is "partial 16S ribosomal RNA". It matches the Rfam family "Bacterial small subunit ribosomal RNA", at positions 28 to 507 of the family's 1533-position model. The record is from RNAcentral.